UACGGGGGGAGCAAGCGUUGUUCGGAUUUACUGGGCGUAAAGGGCGCGUAGGCGGCCACCGCAAGUCACUUGUGAAAUCUCCGGGCUUAACCCGGAAAGGUCAACUGAUACUGCGGGGCUAGAGUGCAGAAGGGGCAACUGGAAUUCUCGGUGUAGCGGUGAAAUGCGUAGAUAUCGAGAGGAACACCUGCGGCGAAGGCGGGUUGCUGGGCUGACACUGACGCUGAGGCGCGAAAGCGUGGGGAGCGAACAGG
RNAcentral lists this ribosomal RNA (254 nucleotides) under uncultured bacterium. RNAcentral's name for it is "partial 16S ribosomal RNA". It matches the Rfam family "Bacterial small subunit ribosomal RNA", at positions 524 to 776 of the family's 1533-position model. The record is from RNAcentral.